Molecule: long non-coding RNA, 976 nt
Organism: Cyprinodon tularosa
Lineage: Eukaryota; Metazoa; Chordata; Actinopteri; Cyprinodontiformes; Cyprinodontidae
Exons: 3
Source: RefSeq, a predicted model, not a curated record
AAAGCGCUUGGUGGUCACAGAAGAUCGAUUGAGGGAGGCGAUGGUGUCUCUCCAGACACGUUGACAGCGGCGGAUGUGGUGAUUGACAGAUGGAACCGAAAUCUCUCUCUCGUCUGCUGGAAAAAGAGGGGGUUGAUAUCCGAGACUGACCUGGAAUGGUGAUUGACCGGUGGAAGCAGACUUGAGGGAGUUGUGGGCAUAUUCGAUCCAUGUGAGGUAUUGACUCCAGUCAGUGGGGUUGUUGGAGGUCAGACAGCGGAGAGUCGAUUCGAGCUGUUGGUUCAUUCUCUCUGUCUGACCGUUGGACUGUGGAUGAUAACCUGAAGUGAGUGACGACUUACAAUUCAGAGCUGCACAGAAGGCCUUCCAGACUUGGGAGAUAAACUGUGGUCCGCGGUCAGAGAGAAUUUCCUGGGGAAUACCAUGGAGUCGGAAAACGUGCUUCACUAGGAGCUGAGCGGUUUGAAAGGCCGUGGGCAGUUUCCUGAGGGGAAUCAGAUGACAUGACUUCGAAAAUCGAUCGACGAUGGUGCAGGUCUGUUUUUCUUUCUCUCCAUCCUCUACAGGGCUGGACUGGCAGUGAAAGACCUAGAAACCAACGCCUGGGAUCAGAAUCAGAAAAACCCCUGGAAACCUUCUCGUACAAGAGAAGAACCUCUGAUCUUUCUGUCAGCCCUCCUGCCUGCGCUUGCCUGCCUGUUCACCCUUUAGCAAAGCAACACAGAGAGAGAAUCUGGAUCUGCACCAACAACCCGGACAAAUGAACAGCACUUCUACCCCAAGACCAAGCCCAAGGCAGCACCUCAAUGAGUUCACCAGCCAAACAUCAUUUUCACAAAUUGCAAAGCUCAAGUUUUUCACCAUCCUCCCUAUCUUUCCCAGCAGAGCUCACAAGACCCCCGACCAGCUGAAAUUCAAUCUUGUUCAUCUCCAUUUUUUCAAUAAACUUUUCAAAUAUACCAACUGUUGCAGUUAU